Podarcis lilfordi (Lilford's wall lizard) is the source of this 4073-nucleotide non-coding RNA. NCBI's taxonomy places the organism in Eukaryota, Metazoa, Chordata, Lepidosauria, Squamata, Lacertidae. The record is from the annotation of a GenBank genome assembly.
UUUGACCCAAAACACAGACUGAGUAGGCUUCUUUCAUCCCGCUUUCCUGAAAUAGAUUUUCAAAUUAUUAAUCAUUUGCUCUUUUUUCUCUUCUCUGCAUUUCAGCUUUUACUAAUACCUUCUGCAACAUAUGCCAUUGCGUAAUGCAUUAUAGGUGGAACGCGUGUGGCACUGUGGGUUAAACCACUGAGCCUAGGGCUUGCCGAUCAGAAGGUCGGCAGUUUGAAUCCCCGUGACGGGGUGAGCUCCCGUUGCCUGGUUCCUGCUCCUGCCAACCUAGCAGUUCAAAAUCACGAAGUGCAAAUAGAUAAAUAGGUACCGCUCUGGCAGGAAGGUAAAUGGCGUUUCCGUGUGCUGCUCUGGUUCGCCAGAAGCAGCUUAGUCAUGCUGGCCACAUGACCCGGAAGCUGUACACCGGCUCCCUCGGCCAGUAAAGCAAGAUGGGCGCUGCAACCCUAGAGUCGUCCAUGACUGGACCUAACAGCCAGGGGUCCCUUUACCUUUACCUUUAAUGCAUUAUAGACCAUGGGUGGGGAGCAAGAGGCCCUCCAGAUGUUGAUGGACUCCAGCUCCCAGCAUUGCUAACCAUCAACCAUGUUGGCUGGGAGUGGUAGGACUUGGGAAUCUAACAUCUGGAAGAGGGCAGGUUUCCAACCCCUGUUCUAAACAUCUGCAUAGGUAUCACUAUAUCAGACCUGGACAUUCCAGUCUGUGAUAUGGUUGGGAUUGGAUCAAAUGGAGGAGGGUUUAAAAAAUGUAUUUACAGUCAACAUUGAAAGCCUUUUUGGACUAUGAGGAGUAUCCAGGAACUUGGGUAGGGUCAUCAUUACCCCCAAAUCACUCCUGAUAGAUUAAUUUUUCACAUGUCCAGAGGCAGAGGAAGUUGAUGCACUAUUUCUUCAUAAGCUUUCCUUGAAAUAAAAGGUUAACAGGCAGGAGCAGGAUGUGACAGAUUACAAAAUAUAAAGGACCCAGUGCAAUUGCUGGCCAGAACAUCUCAGUCUACUGUAACGCCCUUAUACUCUUCAAGUAUCUAUGGAUAUUAUAAAGAAUACAUGAAUGUAAGGAAAUCAAAGCCAUCUGACGUAGCUUUGAACAAAAGUGAUAAAGUAUUCUGCACCAUGUGAGACACAAACCUAUUUUCACGGGAUAGCACUGGAUACAUGCUAGGAAAAUGAAGAGACCUUCUCUAAUUGCCUGGUGUUUUUAUGAAAAAUAUUAGACCCAAAUUCUGGAUGCAAGCAGUCCUGAAUUUUUAAAGGAUGGGAUAUGCUGUGCUGCAGACAGCAUCCAUUCAUUCAUGUGGAGCUCUUCCUUCCAGCACCAGUCUCUGACAUCUUCCCCAACCCCAGAAAAUGGGAAAACAUUCAGAGUGGCACCUCAUGAAGCAUGAGGAGCUGUCCUCAGAAGAAAACUGUGCAUACAUGGAACUUAUUUGUGCUCCUGCCUGGGGGUAGGGCUUGGAACCAAAUCAAGAUAUUCAGGAUGGAUACAAAGGUAGAAACUAAGCAUCUCAGGCUCAGCUGGCAUAAACAAAGUAAAGUCUGGUGACCACUUUCAAAUAAUCGCACGAGGACCUUAUGCCACUCGUGCGUGGAGCAGCACCAGAUUGUUACGGAGAUCUGUUGAUUUUUCAUGACCAUGUUACAAAUGGCAGAAAUAAUUACCUGUGGAAUAGAUGAUGUAAAUGAACACAUCUUCUUCAUUUGAGCUGUUACAUUUGAAACAUUCAACACCACAGCUUGUUGGUAGGAAUAAAACACCCCCAAUGUGGUUUUACCUCUCCCUCCCUCCUCAGCACACACAUACACAUUGGGCAUGUUUUCAGAGAAAUGUGUGGCAUAAGCUCACAUGGCUACCAUACUCAAAGUCUAUUUGACUAUUGACGGCUGGGUAUAUGGCAGGCAGCACAGUCUGUAUCCUAGUAAAGCUGAAAUUUAAAACAUCCAGAACAAUGUGCAAUUUAUAAAACAAAAAUCAACACAUUUUCAAUACAGUACAGGUACAAACUGGGCCUUCAAAGGGAGGCACUGGAACAAAAAUAAAGAUGGUGCCUUUCUGAUUAUGGCAAGAGAAGCAGUUUCCAAAGGCGAUUUCCUUGUUUGUUUGUUUGUUUGUUUGUUUGUUUGUUUGUAUGUUUGUGUGUGUGUAGUAAGUAAGUAAAUACAUACAUACAUACAUACAUACAUACAUAUAUACACCAUUGUGGUUCUUCACACAAGGCCUUGAUUGUUUUAUCUGUUGGCUCCAGCAUGACUGACCAGACUUGCCUGUGUGAAAUGAAUUUGUGAAGUGGACAUCACCUCUGGAUAGCAAACAUAGCCUUAUUUGAAAGGUUUGUGGGUGCACCAUUAAGACAAGGCUGCUUCUCUCUGUAGCCAUAAACCGAUGAAAGAUUUUUCCCUCCCUCCCUCCGUCUUUCAGAUUGUUUCCAUAACAAAAGUCAGGGUGAGUCACAGGCUGGUUUGCAUUCUCAAUUUGCUUUAUUUGCCUUAUUAGAAAUCAAAGAUAGACCAAGUAAGGGCAGUGCAAGCAUAUCUGUCAUCAGCCCAGCUUUUAACAUUUAUUCUUUUUGUAGGGCUUCAGAAUACACUGCUUGCAGCAGCUGGCAGAUACAGGCAGGAAAACAACUGAUCCCCCUGUCAACACCACCCAACCUUCUGAAGCCAAGCAGGCAGUUACACAGUAACACAUAAAGGCCAGUGUUUUGUUUAGCCAAUAUCCUUGUGUGUGUGUGUUUUUCCCCCCUCCUCUUUUGUUCAGAAUAUGCAACGCAUUAAAGGGACCUGAUUAGAACAAAGGAACAGGGAUCACGGUAACAAUUAUGAUAGGAAUGAAAAUGCAUAAUUAAAAAACCCACAAAAAUCAGGAAAAUAAUGCCAGGUGAAGAUGAAUACAUGUCCGCUGGGAACAAUUACAUAGCAGAUGCAUCCAAAAAUUCAUUAUCGACGUAUAAUUUGACAUGCCCCUAGUAAUGUAAUUCAUUACAUUUACAAAUAAUUCAUCACAGGUGUUGUCAACUAGAAUGCCUCACAGGUUCUUUGUGUUAUUCACUCGGAAGGGAGGAAGUGUCCAGUCUUUAAAUACACGUUAAAUACUUUUUGAUAAAACGAUUUAGCCUUUCUUUUCUUGUGAAUCCUGGUGUGGCAAAGAAUAAACAUCACCCCUAUCAUUUGCUUUCUAAAAUGGAUUAAUUUUCCACUGAGCAUAGUGGGAAAUUAGUACUGGGGAGGGGGUGCAUGUUUACCAAUUUCUCCAUUUAGACCACACUUGUUUUGUAUAAAAACUUGGAAUUGUUUUACAUACAUCCUGUCCACCACGUGUGACAGUUCGUACGCACUGAAAUUUAUUUGAAAUAUUAUGGAGAGCUGUACUCAUUUUGGCUGACUGAAUAGGAGUUUCCUGGCUUGCUAAUAUUGUACAGGACGUUAAAUUCAAUUUAGCUUGUGUUACAGAAACACUAUUUAUAAUAUAGAUCCAUCAUACAUUAUGUAACUUUUCAUAUAAAACAAGUGUGUGCACCAUGUUCCAACUAGGGGCCAAACCUGCAUCUAAACAGACUUCUGCAUAUCCCUAGGUGGAUUAGGAAUUAGGAGGACGAAGAGGUAUGGAUAGGAUUCCCUUUCUUGAAUCUCAAGUUGGGAGUUCAUGCAUAUAGCCCCACAUUCAGCUGUUCCCAGUGGAAGCAAGGGCUGGGUGUACGACCUUUAAACAGCUUAUUUGUGCUGUUGUUCCACCUCUUUACCGCUUUAGGAGACUAGUAAAAUAUUGGUUCUUCAAAAAAAAGUCUUUGGGCAGAUAUUUACCUUUCCUAAUUCAAAUGCUGUUUCAUUUUUAAUUACUGCAUUGCUUGUUGCUGCUGUGUGAAUAUGUGGUUUUUACAUUGGUUUUAAACUUAAAACAAAACAAAAAAAAAAGUUAGCCACCUUGGAUUCAUUUUGGAUGUAAGGCAGAGAGAGAGAGAGAGAGUAAUGAAUCGCAUGUAUCUGAAUAGUGCUGUGUGCAUGUAGACCUGGCAUUGGCAUAAGUGUGAUGUUGGAUCAGGACUAUUUGCAUCAACAGGAUCUUGUAUU